This 1075-nucleotide ribosomal RNA is filed under the name Atrichomelina pubera. RNAcentral describes it as "eukaryotic LSU rRNA". It matches the Rfam family "Eukaryotic large subunit ribosomal RNA", at positions 55 to 941 of the family's 3401-position model. The record is from RNAcentral. Lineage: Eukaryota; Metazoa; Arthropoda; Insecta; Diptera; Sciomyzidae.
AGGAAAGAAACUAACAAGGAUUUUCUUAGUAGCGGCGAGGAAAAGAAAAUAGUUCAGCACUAAGUCACUUUGUCUUUAUGGCAAAUGUGAGAUGCAGUGUAUGGAACGUCUAUAAUCUAGUAUGAGGAAUUAACGAUUUAAGUCCUUCUUAAAUGAGGCCAUUUACCCAUAGAGGGUGCCAGGCCCGUAUAACGUUAAUGAUUAUUAGAAGGCGUUUCCAAAGAGUCGUGUUGCUUGAUAGUGCAGCACUAAGUUGGUGGUAAACUCCAUCUAAAACUAAAUAUAACCAUGAGACCGAUAGUAAACAAGUACCGUGAGGGAAAGUUGAAAAGAACUCUGAAUAGAGAGUUAAAUAGUACGUGAAACUGCUUAGAGGUUAAGCCCGAUGAACCUGAAUAUCCAUUACGGAAAAUUCAUCAUUAUGCCUGUUAUAUUAAUAAUAUAAUGGAAAUAGUGUGCAUUUUUUCUGUAUAAGGACAUUGUAAUCUAUUAACAUAUUGAAUAUUUAUCAAAAGAUCAUUUGCACAAGUUUAUUCAAAUUAGUUUGCUUGCAAAUUAACAUAGAAUUAAAUGCUUAUGAUUUGAUAAAGUGUUGAUAGAUUUAUUAAUAUAUAGUGCUUAAAUUCUUUUGAAUUUUAUAAUGUCAUGAUUAUCUUAUGAUUUUUAUGUUUAUUAUAUGCGCUUAUAUGAUUAACAAUGCGAUAGAUUCAGGAUACCUUCGGGACCCGUCUUGAAACACGGACCAAGGAGUCUAACAUAUGUGCAAGUCAUUGGGAUUUUAUAAUUAAACCCAAAAGCGUAAUUAACUUAACUGUACAUAAUGGGAUUAGUUUUUAGUCUAUUUAUAGUCUAUUAAUUCAAUCCCGGGGCGUUCUAUAUGGUUAUGUAUAAUAAUAUUUAUAUUAUUUAUACCUCUAACUGGAGCGUACCUUGAGCAUAUAUGCUGUGACCCGAAAGAUGGUGAACUAUACUUGAUCAGGUUGAAGUCAGGGGAAACCCUGAUGGAAGACCGAAACAGUUCUGACGUGCAAAUCGAUUGUCAGAAUUGAGUAUAGGGCGAAAGACCAAUCGAACC